RNAcentral lists this ribosomal RNA (503 nucleotides) under uncultured Lachnospiraceae bacterium. RNAcentral describes it as "bacterial SSU rRNA". It matches the Rfam family "Bacterial small subunit ribosomal RNA", at positions 35 to 507 of the family's 1533-position model. Lineage: Bacteria; Bacillati; Bacillota; Clostridia; Lachnospirales; Lachnospiraceae. The record is from RNAcentral.
GUUAGGCGUCCAAGGAGUCGAACGGCUGGCGGACGUUCGCUUAACACAUAGCAAGUCGAACGAAGCAAUACGGAAGGAAGUUUUCGGAUGGAAUUCAUACUUGGACUGAGUCGGCGGACGGGUGAGUAACGCGUGGGUAACCUGCCUCAUACAGGGGGAUAACAGUUAGAAUGACUGCUAAUACCGCAUAAGCGCACAGAAUCGCAUGAUAAUGUGUGAAAAACUCCGGUGGUAUGAGAUGGACCCGCGUCUGAUUAGCUAGUUGGUGGGGUAAAGGCCUACCAAGGCGACGAUCAGUAGCCGACCUGAGAGGGUGAUCGGCCACAUUGGGACUGAGACACGGCCCAAACUCCUACGGGAGGCAGCAGUGGGGAAUAUUGCACAAUGGGGGAAACCCUGAUGCAGCAACGCCGCGUGAGUGAAGAAGUAUUUCGAUAUGUAAAGCUCUAUCAGCAGGGAAGAAGAUGACGAUACCUGAGUAAGAAGCCCCGGCUAACUACGUG